CCGUAACGAGCGCAACCCCUAUCCCUAGUUGCUAGCAGUUCGGCUGAGAACUCUAGGGAGACUGCCGGUGACAAACCGGAGGAAGGUGGGGAUGACGUCAGGUCAUCAUGGCCCUUACGGCCAGGGCUACACACGUGCUACAAUGGCGCGCACAGAGGGCUGCAAACCCGCGAGGGGGAGCUAAUCUCACAAAACGCGUCGUAGUCCGGAUCGGAGUCUGCAACUCGACUCCGUGAAGUCGGAAUCGCUAGUAAUCGUGAAUCAGAAUGUCACGGUGAAUACGUUCCCGGGCCUUGUACACACCGCCCGUCACACCAUGGGAGUGGAUUGCACCAGAAGUGGUUAGUCUAACCUUCGGGAGGACGAUCACCACGGUGUGGUUCAUGACUGGGGUGAAGUCGUAACAAGGUAACCGU
RNAcentral lists this ribosomal RNA (416 nucleotides) under uncultured bacterium. Its description in RNAcentral is "bacterial SSU rRNA". It matches the Rfam family "Bacterial small subunit ribosomal RNA", at positions 1087 to 1503 of the family's 1533-position model. The record is from RNAcentral.